Homo sapiens (human) is the source of this 1490-nucleotide long non-coding RNA. Ensembl annotates it as long intergenic non-protein coding RNA 2180. The record is from Ensembl. NCBI's taxonomy places the organism in Eukaryota, Metazoa, Chordata, Mammalia, Primates, Hominidae.
GGUCUUGAACACUGCUGGAAGCCUACUAGAUAUUUAAUGUAAUCACCAUGAUAAUGGCUAAGAUUUAUUAAGCAUCUGCUAUGUGCUUUAUGGUGCUAAGAACUUCUCAUGUAUUUACUCAUUGAAUCUUCACAAAAACCUUAUGAACAUCAGAGCUGAUGAAUACUCAGUCAGAAGAAAUGCAGGCCUGCAGGUUUGUCCACAAAGUGUUCCCAUCAACCGUGUGAAAAUGCGCUCGGCGAAGCAUAGCUCCCUGGAGCAAGUUAGUGAAUAUUAAUGUUUAGCACAUUAUAAGGCUCUACAAGUACUCUGAUGUUGGAGGCCAAGGGGGAGAUAAACGAGCAAGGUUUCAGGAAAUCAUAUAAAUAUGCAACUCACAGUGCAUAUACACAUAUUUCAGGGGGGAAGACAGCUGUUAUCAACCAGGCUGAAGGUCAAAACGAAAAUUCUUUUGCAUAUCUCUUGGUGGGUAAAAGGCCAGACUGGGGACCUUGAGACCCAGGGACAAUGCCCAGCUCUGAAUAGGACAUCGGUGGUAUUUCAGUGAGCUAGCUCACAUCUUCACUUCUGUUCCUCCAUCCAUAAAAUGAGGAUAUGAAUAUUUCAGGACGGCUCUCUCAAAUGUUACUGUCUAUAUGAAUCCACCUUGGGAUAUUAGUAAAAUGAGUUUCUGAUACAGAAGAUCUAGAAAGCGCCUGAAAUGCUGAUAUUCUGUCUCCCAGGUGGAGGAGUUCAGCUAUUACCUUGACUUUGCCGAAGUCCUAGGCACUCCCAUGCCCUCAGAGUCUCAUUUUGAAUCCAGGCACUUAGGGAUGCUAUUUUUCCACAUCAAACAGCUUCCUCCCAGCCAAAGAAUUCUGGUGACAGUAGUGAAGAUAAUUUUCACUCCUGCUUACAGAAUGACAAAGCAAAAGCAAAGAGGAGAAGAAUGAAGUAAAGACAACCAAAGGAAAAGACUGAUGGCUCCUUAAGAAUGAUCUUGAUAAAGGAAUGGUGGCUGAGGGGUCCAUCUCCUAAACCACCCACCUUACUGACUCCCUAGAGCAAUGCCAUACAGAAAGCUGCACCUUGAGGGGAAGACACAAGAAUCCUGGAGUGGAAAAAAAUUGGGUAAUGAUGACAGCCUUCGAGGUCUUGAGAGUAAAGCAGAAGCAAAAAAAAAGUGUUAUUUUUAUCUUUUGAAGAUGGUUCCCUCUUAAGACUUUUGCGAAUGAUUAAGAUUUCAAUUAUGUUCCAGGAAAAAAAUAAGAUUUUUGCUUGACAAAAAAAAUUUUUGUCUAGAACAGGUGGGAAGGAAGAGAUAGUUUAGCCACAUCCAAGAGACCUGUAAAUUGGGUACAGUGAAGUGAAUGGUGUACCAGUCAUAAAAGAAUGUUAACUGGAGAAGUCUCUGCUGUCUUCCUGUAACUGAGGGGGGUGUAACCAUCCUUGUGGAAGCGUCCACUUUUAUUGAAGAUUGGCUAAAUAAAUCUGUGCCUACUGAAACUCAA